CAAAGUAGAGCUUGUAGGAAGCAGCUCAUUUACACUGAGUAGGAUUAGUGCAAAUCUAAUUAUUUUGA
This 68-nucleotide transfer RNA is filed under the name Limulus polyphemus (Atlantic horseshoe crab). RNAcentral describes it as "tRNA-Val". Lineage: Eukaryota; Metazoa; Arthropoda; Merostomata; Xiphosura; Limulidae. The record is from RNAcentral.